AAGCAACACAAAUCAUAUUUUUGUUUUCAAGAAUAUGGAGUUGAGCCUUUUUUUAUUCUUCUUCUUCACCAAGAGGGGGAUGGCUUGAAAUACAGAAGGACGGGAAAAAAAGUCUGGGUGUAAAUCCGGGCUUUUUUUUCUAUCAGGUCAAACAAAUUUAUACUUGAGCAAUAAUUAGUUAAUGCUUUAUUUUCGGAUAGAGCGUUAUUCUUUUUUGCUCGGUAGUCUGGCCUGAGUUUUUUUAGUCGUCCUCACACUCUUCGGAGGAAACAGCGAUUUUACUCUGACGAAGAUUUCUGGUAAUUUAUUUUACCAGAGCUUCCGACCU
RNAcentral lists this unclassified non-coding RNA (328 nucleotides) under uncultured Calcarisporiella. RNAcentral's name for it is "sequence contains ITS2". The record is from RNAcentral. Lineage: Eukaryota; Fungi; Ascomycota.